This is a non-coding RNA of Arachis ipaensis, 1532 nucleotides long. Lineage: Eukaryota; Viridiplantae; Streptophyta; Magnoliopsida; Fabales; Fabaceae. The record is from RefSeq and is a predicted model, not a curated record.
CUUCCAGUGGCCGCCUAGUCCAGCUCCAAACUCGUUGCAGAUUCAAUCAGGCCGACUCUGGCCCAAACUACGGCCCUACACCCCAGCGAGUCUACGAUUACCCAUUUCAGAUAAAGUUUUGGUCCUUGCUUUCAGAGAUGCUAAUUUGAUUUUUGGUCUCUCAAAUUAUCUGUUCUUAUAUUUUUUAAGUUUUCUGCGUUUUUCAUAUAGAAUUUUCCCUUGUUUUUCAAAGAAAGAUUGAUCUCUGUAGUUACAUUUAAUUUAAUUUUAGUUCCUCAAAACAUUAUGACAAGAAAUCAUAGGGACCUAGGAUAUGAUGUCAAAAAAGUAUUUUGUGAAGCCCACAAACAAAAUUGUAAUCCAACUUAGGUGUCAUCACUCAUCAACAAUGGAAUUCAAAGCUCAUUUUUAUUGCAUACAUAAAUGCUUGGUACAACUUGUAUAAUAAGAUCUCACACUAAUGCAAUUUGGCAAAGCUACAAGGCUCUGCCAUUUCACAAUACUUUUUGGCCUCUUGCUGAUCGCAGGGCUUGUAAUCUCUAUAUAUUCUCAUGAUAAUGAUGAUAAUAAUAAUAAUGGCAACCUAAUGAAGAAAAUUUCCUAUAAUAGAGGGCUCUGAUAAUAAUGUACACAUGCUUGCUUUCAUGUCUAACUAGCUAACAUUGUGAAGGGAUAUAUCUAAAAACUGCUUCACCCUUCUCAGGUGAUCCAACAAUGAACAGCCACUUGAAAUUUACAUAUCUCUUUCAUUGAUUUAAUGGUUCAACAGAUAUCAUGAUCGGUUUGAAUCCGGUUGCUCGAUGGCUUCCCGAUCUGUAAACAAUCGAUAGUAGGGACAGUGGGGGAUCUCAGUUCUCCAUAAGUCUGCCAGCAGAAUGGAUUACAUAGAUGGUAUUGCUCCUGAACUGGUUUCAGCUCCACCUUGUUUAACGACACGUCCACGCAUGGCAGGCUAUCACUGCAUGCGAAGUGAACCGGCUUUACCGUUGAUGUUUGAGACACAGGCUCUGGUGUUAUCCUUCCCUAAGCUUCCAAUGCUGAUUCCAUGUCCUGGCCCACAGUUGACAUCGUGUACAAAUACAUUUGAGCACCCAGUUUGUAUGGAAAUACAGUCAUCACCUGCACCAUGGUUGAAAUUCAGAACAAUACUUAUUAGCCAACUCAAAAACUACUUUAUGGUGUUUUUUUGUGCUUAUCUAAUCCUUGAAAAGAAGUGUUGGAGCAACGGUUGAGUUGUCUCCAUAUAACCUCAAAGCCACAGGUUCAAGCACUGAUAUAAUUACCAGAAGUAACAAAGAUAAUUUACCGGCACCGGUGGUUUCCAUGUGUGGUUUAAAGGGACUAUGAGCUUUUCUUCACCAUCUAUAGGGUUAUCAAAUGGCUGGUCUUGCCACCAAACUGAGCCUCUUCCAUCAAUGACACCCUUUCCUUGAAUGGUGAUUCCCACCAGCUUUGUAAACUCCAGCCAUUGUAGCAGUCCUCCAGACCAAGCAUUUGCAUUUGUUGGAGCAAUAAUUGUACCAUCAAGCUGA